RNAcentral lists this long non-coding RNA (1366 nucleotides) under Fukomys damarensis (Damara mole-rat). RNAcentral describes it as "lncRNA (ENSFDAG00000033245.1)". Lineage: Eukaryota; Metazoa; Chordata; Mammalia; Rodentia; Bathyergidae. The record is from RNAcentral.
ACGUGGAAUGCUGCUCUGAGUGCUGUCCCAUUCUUUAGUGAUUGAGGUUCCUUUGACAUUUGGGUCACUUGUCAUGUUUGGAAACUCUUUUUUUGUCUCCCCUUUCCUCACUGCUUUGACCUGGGGUGCAGUUUGGACUCUUGUUACUUGCUGCCCUAAGGAACCCGGAGUGCCCCGGACACCCCUGACAUGACCUGGGACGAGGUCGCCGCACCGUCACCCCCAGCCACGUCUCUGGAGCCGAAGAGGCAGGUCUGGCCACAGAUUUUUCAAGUGUUAGGGCAAUCUUGAUUGGUUUAUUCACAGGGAUCUGCUUAUCUCUAGCUCAGGUGAGAGGUGGUGAGAGCAUCCGAUUUCUUGUAAGAAAAUUCUUAAAUUCGAAAAUUAAAAUGUUAUAAUGCUGGUCAAUGUCACACCAUUUUACAGGUGGAAAAAUGUUACACCGGCUGCUGACAUUCUACUUGAGUUUAGCUGGAUAUUCCGGUUUUCCUCGAUUAUACCACAUUUUCUUCCCUUCAUUUCACCGCCAAGAAUAAACCAAGAAGCCCCCCUCCCUUAGUGCACAACUCUGCCACUUCCCAGCCCUGAGCAGGGACCCUCGUGCGCAGCCAGCUCUCGAACCACCCUCAGCCCUGUGAUGGACCACUCCUCCCUGACAUCUUGCCCCUUUAGCACUGUCCAAACUCUAUCCGUGCUGAGGAUGGGCUUCUGAAUGCCAGGCACAGAUAGGGCCCUACUCUGAACUCGUGCUGUGGUUAUCCACGUCGGGCGCGUGGCCUGCACAUUCACAACCCCGUUUUCAAGUUAAACGCGCACCUGUCAAUGUCCACAGCGAGAUUAUGAAUAGCUGGAGGUCAUGGACCACCCGGAUUAAUGAUGGCAAAAGACUUCGCCCAUAGCCUUGCAACAGAUGUUUGUUGACUGAAUGAGCGAAGGAGGAGAGAUGAACACGGGAGUCUGUCCUUCGGGGGCUAAGAGGAAGGGGUUUUCGCUUAAUAUUUGGAGCAAGGCAGCGUACACGCAGCAUUCUUCCGUGUGCUUCUCAUUCCACUCUCCGUUCAGCAGAUGACCUGACUCCCAUUCGCUCCCCGGACUGGGAUAACCUUUUCUCCCCCUCAGGAGAGGCAGCAGUUAGCCGAGGCCAUCGCGAGGACCGAAAGACAGUUCAAUUCAUUUUGAAACAACACAAACAAAACACUUUGCGCUAUCUUCCGAGUAGCUCAAGAAAAAAAAUGGGACUGCUGAAAAGAAAGCCUUUCCCCCGGGAUGUGCUGGCGUGCUUGCAGCUGAACUACCUGUGACCAUCCCACACGGCUUCCAGGAAGAGUAUUCAAAUAUUUAGCAGCAACAACAAAAACCCCACCCU